Molecule: ribosomal RNA, 468 nt
Filed under: uncultured bacterium
Lineage: Bacteria
Description: partial 16S ribosomal RNA
Rfam family: Bacterial small subunit ribosomal RNA
Source: RNAcentral
GACGAACGCUGGCGGCGUGCUUAACACAUGCAAGUCGAACGGAAAGGCCCUGCUUUUGUGGGGUGCUCGAGGGGCGAACGGGUGAGUAACACGUGAGUAACCUGCUCUUGACUUUGGGAUAAGUUCAGGAAACUGGUGCUAAUACCGGAUAGGAGCUGCUGCUGCUUGGUGGGGGUUGGAAAGUUUGGGCGGUUGGGGAUGGACUCGCGGCUUAUCAGCUGGUUGGUGGGGUAGUGGCUUACCAAGGCUUUGACGGGUAGCCGGCCUGUGAGGGUGACCGGCCCCAUUGGGACUGAGAUACGACCCAGACUCCUACGGGAGGCAGCAGUGGGGAAUAUUGCACAAUGGGCGGAAGCCUGACGCAGCAACGCCGCGUGCGGGAUGACGGCCUUCGGGUUGUAAACCGCGUUCGCCUGUGACGAAGCGUGAGUGACGGUACUGGGUAAAGAAGCACCGGCUAACUACGUG